ACGGGAGGCAGCAGUGGGGAAUAUUGGGCAAUGGGCGAAAGCCUGACCCAGCAACGCCGCGUGAAGGAGGAAGGUCUUCGGAUUGUAAACUUCUUUUAUGAGGGACGAAGGACGUGACGGUACCUCAUGAAUAAGCCACGGCUAACUACGUGCCAGCAGCCGCGGUAAUAAGUAGGUGGCAAGCGUUAUCCGGAUUUACUGGGAGUAAAGGGCGCGUAGGCGGGAAGGCAAGUCAGAUGUGAAAUCCAUGGGCUCAACCCAUGAACUGCAUUUGAAACUGUUUUUCUUGAGUGCUGGAGAGGUAGACGGAAUUCCUUGUGUAGCGGUGAAAUGCGUAGAUAUAAGGAAGAACACCAGUGGCGAAGGCGGUCUACUGGACAGUAACUGACGCUGAGGCGCGAAAGCGUGGGGAGCAAACAGGAUUAGAUACCCUGGUA
Molecule: ribosomal RNA, 437 nt
Filed under: uncultured Oscillospiraceae bacterium
Lineage: Bacteria; Bacillati; Bacillota; Clostridia; Eubacteriales; Oscillospiraceae
Description: partial 16S ribosomal RNA
Rfam family: Bacterial small subunit ribosomal RNA
Source: RNAcentral